Molecule: long non-coding RNA, 3013 nt
Organism: Triticum aestivum (bread wheat)
Lineage: Eukaryota; Viridiplantae; Streptophyta; Magnoliopsida; Poales; Poaceae
Exons: 7
Source: RefSeq, a predicted model, not a curated record
CCUCGUCGCACGUUCGCACGCACAGGAGCGCUCCAUCCCCAACCUCCCUCCUCUCUCGGUCGGCGCCGCCCCCUCGCCCGCCCCCUCGCCUCGGCACGGCCCCUCGCCUCGACCCGCUGCAGCUUCAUCGACGCCGCCCCUCACAUCUCCGUGUCGCCCCCACCCAUCGCCUCGUCUGGCCUCGGCCGUCGGGGACGCCGCCUAGACCACCUGGCCGGCCGUGGGGGAUGCCGCCCGGUGAUUGCUAGCUACCCCAUCAUCGUCUCUCCCUGUCCUCAACCGGUGUGCCGACGCGGCACCACGGAUCUGCCGUCUCUAGCCUUCCUGAUGCGGCGGCCCUUGGGGCGAGCGACGAAGGAGCCCCACCAUGGCUUCGUCCUCUUGUUCGUCCUAUCAUCCUGCACCAUCCUGUGUUCGCCAGCGACGAAGGAGCGACGAAGGAGCAGCCGCGGUUGAUCCUGCACCAUCCUGUGGCCGUCAAGCGUGUAGCCGCCGUCCACCACAUCGGCACAUCCAUCUAAUGUGCAGGAGCUGCCGCCUCCGCUGGGGACAUGGACACACGCAGGGCGACCGCUGGCGUACGAUGCCGUACAUGCCAUCCUGCCUCCGCGCUCCUGCACCGGGGCGCACAGGGGAAUGGCCAUAUCAGUUAACGGAUGCAGCCCCGGGUCAAGUCAAUUGAUCUUUGGUGGCGCGGGAAGACGUCGGGGCGCUGGACUCGGCGGGCGCCGCCACUCCCGCAUACCCGGUUGUGGGCUAGGACGGGGACUCCGCUGCCGCUCCCGACGACGAGGGAUACACUGCCGCUGGCCGGGCAAUGUGGUUUUUUUCCGGGUCCUAGGGAUUUUACAAGCAGUUGUUUGUCCCUGCUGAUUUUCGUCGGACGCACAUAUUUCAGAGGAAAGUACUCUUCUUAUGGUUCUACUUGCAGGGAUCCCAGUGUAUUGAGGGCUCCAAGUCAAUGGAGUUGUGUGCGGCCACGACAACAACACCCAUAAGGUUUUUAGGCAAGUUUAAGAGGGGUUCCUUGAAGUUAUGGUCACAUCUUUUGAGAAAUCUUGUCAGAGGAAGAGACGGCAGUCUUUAGAGAAUUUGAAUCACAAGAUAGUGAUAAAUAGAGGGAUAAUUAGUCUUGAGGUACUAAGGGCUGGUUUGUAGAAGUUUGGUACCAAAUUUACCCAAUUGGAAAAAAACAGUUGAUGGAGCUGAUCUGAAUGUGCUGAUGAAAUUACGGUCCAAUAGAGGAACCAAUGUGCUCCUGGUCUGAUCCAUAAUUGUGAAGAUCUUUUUUGGGUCGUCAUUCAUGGGCUGGACUUCUCCUUCAGGUUAAUGGUCUUCUUUCUAGCAUGAAGUGGAGUAUUAUAACUACUGGGAAGCACAAGAUGUUGCUCAUGAAUUCGACAGUUAUUUUGCUUUCCUUGAUGUUGUCUUCAUUCCGAUUAAGUUUCUGUCCGCUUCUCCUAAUGGUCCAGCCAAUUAAUAAGAGAAAAGAGGGAGAAGAAAAAUGUAUGACACAAGAAGAGAUACCUCUACAAGCAGUGGAAACAGGUCUUCCUUAUAUUCUAGAGAUCAUGAUCAUGACAAAUCUUGAAACAUGUACUAACAAGAGAACGGACUAGAAAGGGGAUGCUGAUUGGAAAAGAAGUUCUUGCAACUAGCAAGGUAUUCUGCUUAUAACCUGAUUGUGAACUUUCUUCAAAGAUCAUCAUUCAAAGUGAAGCAUAUUCAACAAGUCUUCUAGGAAGUUCUCUUUCGUUCCUUUCACAUUUUAUGUCUACUGGUAGCAUGGCGGUUAUAGCUCUCAUGUGUAUGGACUACCAUUGAUGGCUAUCCUUGCUUUUCUUCAUGGUUUCGCAUUAAAAUUGUUAUGUAACUGUUUCAUCUCUCAUUACAAACAUUGCCUUUUUCAAAUCCAGUGAGAAUUCAUGUAAAACAGUGGCCACUCACAUCAGUGGAGUAAAUUAUGUAAGAUAAGCUACAUUAUCUAUGAGCUACUUUAAUUUCAGAUGAAACAUGUCCUUUUUGACAUCUCAAUUCUUGUGUUGAAAACAAAUAUUUUCCUACCCUACAUCUGAAAUAUUUCCAAACAUCACCCUGAAAGGAAAAAAACUUGCUCUUCGCUCCAUUGACUUGAUAAACAAGAGCAUCACAGUACGUAGUUCAAUGAUACUCCAUCUGUAUAUUACUUUACAGAGGAAUAUUAAGGUACUGGUAAUUAUUUUUUGGCAUAGUGUUUGUUUGCAUUUGUCGUAUAUGAGCCCAUUAUUGACUUAAAAUGUCGAGACCUUUGUGGAGUUUGAUGCUCUUGCCGUUAUCUAGCCUCACAUGAUUUGACAGUUUGAUGGAAUUUAGGUUGAUCCUUUGCUUUCAGAUUUGUUAGCAAGUAAUUCAUAUCCUAUUUGUUUCUUGUCAGUUAGAGAGAACAAUGAACAAGUGUAUUCCAGUUGCUUCUGUUUGUAAAACAACUAGAAUGUAAUUAAGCGCCAUGUAGUACUAGCAUAUGAUAGAUUACUAAUCACAGAUCACGGUGAAAAGCAUUAGGAACACCAAUUUACAACUGCGAGUAGUCAAUGCCCCUACCCCUCUCAGGCGUAAAAAAAUGACAAUGUCCAAAAUGCAUAUACUUUUAUCUAUCACGACAAUUUGUACCCUCACUGUAGAUGCUAUUACUACGCAACUACAACUUCUAAUUACGAGUUCUUUUAGAAUGAUGGAUCUUCCUAAUGGGUUCAGCUUCUAUGAAAUGUAUUUAUAUGCCUAUUUGAAAAUUUCCCUUUGAGUCUAAAUUUAUCACAGGAAAUGGAGAGUUUUGCUGAGAGUAUGGGGGAAAUCUGCAUGCUAUUGUCUGGAAAAGUGGCAACAAUCUACAGUAUAGGAUAUCGAAGAGUGUAAAUAGUAGUUGUAUUUUGUUAUCCAAACAUAUCUUUCUCGGGAUAAUACACAUGCCAUGUACUGAAUCAUGUUGUAUUAAGACGUAUCACACUGGAAUUAGCUUUUCGAAUGACUCAAUAUA